GCCCUCCUCUCAAAACAUGAUUUAGGUUCAUUCCGGUUUAUGGUUUCGAUGGUGCAAGCACUCUGCAACCAAACACGAAGAGUCCUCUCUGCUCCAUAUCCGUGGGCCAUGAACAUUGACAACAUAAAUAUCUUCGUUCCCUUUUUCACCCAUAUGUGCAAAGUUCAACUGUAGCCUCUUUUGUCAGCUUAUGGUUAACACUUAACAAUCGCUUUCCUCGUCGGCUUAUUACUUUGUCUUGAGGCUUAUUACUACGCGUCGUCAAGAGAAAGCUCAUUGGUUAUGGCCAUCCAUUCUUUGUGCUUGACCCGAACUGGACUGUGUCUUUGAGGAUUUUGUGUUUGGUAUUAUCCAAAGGCACUUGUGCUUUUGCUUGCUGAAUCAUCUCCCAUGUUCUGUUUGCUUUGUUUGUCUUCCAAGAUCAUUCAUUGCCUCUGUACGGUCGAAAUCUUGUAUAAAUUCGGUUUUGCCCUUACCCCUUUUGACAUCCCGACCUGCUACUUGGU
Molecule: long non-coding RNA, 506 nt
Organism: Arabidopsis thaliana (thale cress)
Lineage: Eukaryota; Viridiplantae; Streptophyta; Magnoliopsida; Brassicales; Brassicaceae
Product: other RNA
Exons: 1
Source: RefSeq